GAUGAAGAACGUAGCGAAAUGCGAUACUUGGUGUGAAUUGCAGAAUCCCGUGAACCAUCGAGUCUUUGAACGCAAGUUGUGCCCGAAGCCAUUAGGCCGAGGGCACGCCUGCCUGGGCGUCACACGUCGUUGCCCCCCCAUCUACUCCUUCGGGAUUGCGGGGGGCGGAUGAUGGCCUCCCGUGCGCCUCGUCGCGCGGUUGGCAUAAAUGCCAAGUCCUCGGCGACACACGCCACGACAAUCGGUGGUUGCGAAACCUCGGUUGCCCGUCGUGUGCGGUCGUCGCGCAUCGAGGGCUCGAAAAAAUUGCCGGGCUCCGGCUCGGCUUUCAACGCGACCCCAGGUCAGGCGGGGUUACCCGCUGAAUUUAAGCAUAUCAAUAAGCGGAGGA
RNAcentral lists this unclassified non-coding RNA (391 nucleotides) under soil metagenome. RNAcentral's name for it is "partial contains 5.8S ribosomal RNA, internal transcribed spacer 2, and large subunit ribosomal RNA". The stretch from base 1 to 122 matches the Rfam family "5.8S ribosomal RNA", at positions 35 to 154 of the family's 154-position model. The record is from RNAcentral.